AUGCCGGAGUUCAUCAAGAAGCACACGCCGGCACAGAAGGUUCCAAUCGGACAGUUCAUGGUCCCCAAGUUUAAGUUCACGUUCGAGUUCGAGGCGUCGUCGGACAUGCAGAAGCUUGGUGUCACCAGGGCUUUCAAUAGGGGCAACUUCUCAGGCAUGGUGAGUGGCGGGGAUGAGCUCUCCAUCACCGGGGUGUACCAUAAGGCCACCAUUGAGGUGGACGAGCUAGGCACCGUGGGCGCUGCAGCCACGGUCAUCGUAAUUGGGACUACUAGUGUGGGUCCAAGGGAACUGAUGGAUUUUGUGGCGGAUCGGCCCUUCUUGUUUGCUGUGGUUGAGGAGAGGACAAGCACAGUGUUAUUCCUGGGUCAUGUGGUUAAUCCUCUUGCUCGCUAA
RNAcentral lists this ribosomal RNA (396 nucleotides) under Triticum aestivum (bread wheat). RNAcentral describes it as "partial small subunit ribosomal RNA". Lineage: Eukaryota; Viridiplantae; Streptophyta; Magnoliopsida; Poales; Poaceae. The record is from RNAcentral.